This 298-nucleotide unclassified non-coding RNA is filed under the name plant metagenome. RNAcentral's name for it is "partial contains 5.8S ribosomal RNA, internal transcribed spacer 2, and large subunit ribosomal RNA". The stretch from base 1 to 105 matches the Rfam family "5.8S ribosomal RNA", at positions 50 to 154 of the family's 154-position model. The record is from RNAcentral.
GAAAUGCUAUAAGUAAUGUGAAUUGCAGAAUUCAGUGAAUCAUCGAAUCUUUGAACGCACAUUGCGCCCCCUGGUAUUCCGGGGGGCAUGCCUGUUCGAGCGUCAUUUCACCACUCAAGCCUCGCUUGGUAUUGGGCAACGCGGUCCGCCGCGUGCCUCAAAUCGACCGGCUGGGUCUUCUGUCCCCUAAGCGUUGUGGAAACUAUUCGCUAAAGGGUGUUCGGGAGGCUACGCCGUAAAACAACCCCAUUUCUAAGGUUGACCUCGGAUCAGGUAGGGAUACCCGCUGAACUUAAGC